Molecule: non-coding RNA, 92 nt
Organism: Mycena epipterygia
Lineage: Eukaryota; Fungi; Basidiomycota; Agaricomycetes; Agaricales; Mycenaceae
Source: the annotation of a GenBank genome assembly
GGCUCGGUGGUGGAUGGUCCACACCUGCAUUUAUUGGAUGCCUCCAUCUCUGAUUUACGCAGGAGGAGCCCGUUCGAUUCGGGUCCGAGCCG